GAGUUUGAUCGUGGCUCAGAUUGAACGCUGGCGGCAUGCCUUACACAUGCAAGUCGAACGGCAGCAUGAUCUAGCUUGCUAGAUUGAUGGCGAGUGGCGAACGGGUGAGUAAUACAUCGGAACGUGCCCUGUAGUGGGGGAUAACUAGUCGAAAGAUUAGCUAAUACCGCAUACGACCUGAGGGUGAAAGUGGGGGACCGCAAGGCCUCAUGCUAUAGGAGCGGCCGAUGUCUGAUUAGCUAGUUGGUGGGGUAAAGGCCCACCAAGGCGACGAUCAGUAGCUGGUCUGAGAGGACGAUCAGCCACACUGGGACUGAGACACGGCCCAGGACUCCUACGGGAGGCAGCGAGUGGGGAAUUUUGGACAAUGGGCGAAAGCCUGAUCCAGCAAUGCCGCGUGUGUGAA
This 406-nucleotide ribosomal RNA is filed under the name uncultured microorganism. Its description in RNAcentral is "bacterial SSU rRNA". It matches the Rfam family "Bacterial small subunit ribosomal RNA", at positions 9 to 409 of the family's 1533-position model. The record is from RNAcentral.